Vitis riparia (riverbank grape) is the source of this 2880-nucleotide long non-coding RNA. RefSeq lists it as uncharacterized. NCBI's taxonomy places the organism in Eukaryota, Viridiplantae, Streptophyta, Magnoliopsida, Vitales, Vitaceae. The record is from RefSeq and is a predicted model, not a curated record. The transcript has 4 exons.
ACUUUAAAGAUACUUGGGUGGCGGAGUUGUGGCAGCAUUCUAAUGAGGGGGUGGCUGGAAUCCUAACUUCCUAAGGCCCCUAAAUGACUGGGAGAUUGUUAUUGGGGUGCGCUUUUUGGCAAGACUUCAAGAUAAAGUGGUAUAAGAGGGUAAAGAGGAUAAAGUGUGUUGGGUUGAUACGAAGAGUGGAACUUUCUCUAUUAAAUCACUUUAUGCUAGCCUAGAGAUAAGAAGGAAAGUGCAAUUCCCUUCUAGUGUUGUGUGGAGUGUGUGGGUUCCUUGUAAGGUGUCCUUUUUUGCUUUGGAGGCGACUUGGGGAAAAACUUUGACUCUUGACCAGCUUCAAAGGAGGGGGUGGUCUUUCGCCAAUUGUUGUUUCCUUUGUCUGUCUCAUGAGGAGUUUAUUGACCACAUCCUUUUGCAUUGUGACAAGACAAGGGUGUUGUGGGAGCUAUUAUUCUCUCUCUUUAGAGUUUUUUGGGUGAUGCAGUCCACAGUUAGAGAGACUCUACUAGGCUGGCAUGAUUCCUUUGUUGGAAGAAAGCGGAAAAAGGUUUGAAGGGCAACUCCUUUAUACCUCUUCUGGACUAUUUGGAAAGAGAGAAAUAGAGGAUCUUUUGAGAAUGUGAAACUCUCAAUCCAAAGGCUGAAAUACUUGUUUGUGUAACUUGUUAACUUGGACCAAACUGUUUAUAGGUGAAAGAUUGAUGUCCAUAGUAGAUUUCAUUGAUUGGUUGGGGUCGGUUUGAGGGAGAGAGUGUCUUUUUUUUUUCUCUUCCUUUUUUUAGCAUUUUUAGGCCACCAUUGUAUACAUCGUGUGUACUUUGGUUUGCCCUUUUUGGUGUGGUUAAUACAAAUCUCAUUUACUGAUCAAAAGAAAAAAAAAAUGCAUGUCCCUAAAUUCAGAAUGAUAUUUUUCUAAGCUAAUAUGUGUUAGGGAAAUGCAUACUCUAAAGUUGUAAUUGAGAUUAAAUCUUCUUAAGUAAAUGAAAAAUCACUAGUUAGUCUCACAUUUGGAAAUUACUAGAUGAGAAGCUAGAAUAUGUAACAUUUUAUUUCUAAUGCAUUUGAUCACAUAAAGUAAAUUGUGUCAAUAAGACUUUGUUUGGUGCUUUGCCCUUGGUCCAACAAUUAUAUUAUGGGACUUCUAUGCAUUUGGAUUUUUAGAUCCAAAUUUCAAUUAUCAGAACCACAAUUUCAAUUAUCAGAACCACACUUCUUCCUAGUGCAGGAUAGAAGAAGUGGAGGAAAAGGUUGAGGAGUUGAUCAUAGAGGUUGGAGUUCCAAAAUCACCUUUUUACCUCUUUCUGGUCCCUGAAUCUAGAGAAAUUUAUGAAAUUCUGUGUGUCCAUUUACAUUAUCACCUUGAAGGUGUGGAAUGUAUUUAUUGCUGAUAGAAAACUUUGGCAACUAUAUUGAUAAUGAUUUUUGUUUUCUUUCCAUUUGUCCAUUUCUUGCUUUGGGAAUUAUAGGAUCUUUUGGCCUACAAUUUUGUAUCUUUUCAUUGGAUUGGACUUGAUUUUUGAAAUAUGCAACAUUGCUGUUCAUGACCAUGUUCUAUUGAAUACAAAAAUAAAAUGGUGUUAAAUCUAUUUUGUUGCAGACCCAAAACAGCUGGGGAUAAGGUCUUGUGAUGUGUACUGUUGCAAGGGGUUCUUCAUUGGGGAAGAAGAAGUGUGUGAGAACACUCCCUUUAUAGUAAUUCCAAAGACAAACUAUUUGAAAAUUCCACCUGCAUUCAAGCAUGCAUUUAUAUGAAAUAUGCAUGUACCAUUUGAUUCUUGUUCGUUCUCUUUUGUGAACCCUGGAGGUUCAUUUAGAUGUUGAUGCUGCUGCUGCAAGGAUGGCAUCAAGAAGGGCUUGGAACUAGAUAAUCAUUUUGUCUCAAUGUGGCCAGUUGCCUUUAAUGAUUGGAGCAUCUUCAAAAUCUUGCGUCCAUGCAGACAACAAUGGAAAUUUCUCCUCAUCCCCAACUGUUAGGCCAACAAUCUCUUCCAAUAUGCUAAUCAUGUUGGCAAGCAAACCCAAGGCAAGAUCAAGGAACCUCAUCAUCUCUCCACCGAAGGACUUCUUUCCCUUCAACUUUUCUUCCAAGAACUUCAGGUGGAGAUAUAGCUGAUAAAUAUGACAGAGGAUUCAGUGGACUUUUGAUGAAGGGAAGGUUGAUGGUAACAAAGAUGUUGGAAGUAUGAUAUUUUUCUGAAGAGCUUGACAUACCUGUAAGCAAAAAAGGGGAAAAUCCUAAUCUUGCUGCUUCAACUCGCAUUCCUAUUGAUGUAAUCAAGAUAGACUUGGCCAAGGUCCUGUGUUGUGAGGUGGAGACGAAGGAGAGAGAAGGAGAAGGGUUCUUCAAUCACCGACUCAAAGAGAAACCUGGGAGAAUUUCCAGAAGCACAAUGACAGAAGAAGCCACCCCAACCCAUAGCCCUUCUGCUUUGAUGACGCUCCUCUGAACCUCAAUUUUCCUUUGCUUUUCUCAGCUGCCAAACAUGUCGGACCCAUCAAUUUUCCCUCUAUUUUCUCGACUUUUCUUUCCCUCAGAGCCGUGAAUGUCUACCAAUUUUUUGAUUUAUUUUUUAAUUUUUUAUUCUCUCAACUCUCUACAACAAAAAAGAGAAAAAAAAAUUGGAUUUUGUUUUAUGCGGGUUUUGUGGAGAUUGUUGAUUGCGUUGGUGUCUGGUUUAUUUGAAACAAACGGAAUCGAAGGAAAAGGGGAGUAGGGGAGCUGUUUAAUUGUAUCUUUCUUCUCUACCGGAGGAAAAUUUGGGGGUGAGAAUUAGAGGUGAAGCUCACUUAGCUUGGUUCAAAAAUUUGGUUUGUCUUUGUACUUGUCUGGCUUCUGAUUGGGAAUUGUUGUGAUAUAUUGAAUAAUUUGGAAAA